This 253-nucleotide ribosomal RNA is filed under the name uncultured bacterium. Its description in RNAcentral is "partial 16S ribosomal RNA". It matches the Rfam family "Bacterial small subunit ribosomal RNA", at positions 524 to 776 of the family's 1533-position model. The record is from RNAcentral.
UACGUAGGGUGCAAGUGUUGUCCGGAAUUAUUGGGCGUAAAGAGCUCGUAGGCGGCCUGUCGCGUCGGCUGUGAAAACUCAGGGCUCAACCCUGAGCCUGCAGUCGAUACGGGCAGGCUAGAGUCCGGCAGGGGAGACUGGAAUUCCUGGUGUAGCGGUGAAAUGCGCAGAUAUCAGGAGGAACACCGGUGGCGAAGGCGGGUCUCUGGGCCGGAACUGACGCUGAGGAGCGAAAGCGUGGGGAGCGAACAGG